Molecule: ribosomal RNA, 598 nt
Filed under: Paracamarosporium hawaiiense
Lineage: Eukaryota; Fungi; Ascomycota; Dothideomycetes; Pleosporales; Didymosphaeriaceae
Description: eukaryotic LSU rRNA
Rfam family: 5.8S ribosomal RNA (bases 224-377)
Source: RNAcentral
GCCUACAGCGACUGAGGAGGAUCAUUAUCUAUAACCGGGUGUGGCUGCGGCCUCCGGGGGCGUGUCUCCCGGGUGGUAGAGGUAAAACUCGCACGCGCCACAUGUCUGAAUCCUUUUUUUACGAGCACCUUUCGUUCUCCUUCGGUGGGGUGACCUGCCGUUGGAACCCAUCAAAACUCUUUUUGCAUCUAGCAUUACCUGUUCUGAUACAAACAAUCGUUACAACUUUCAACAAUGGAUCUCUUGGCUCUGGCAUCGAUGAAGAACGCAGCGAAAUGCGAUAAGUAGUGUGAAUUGCAGAAUUCAGUGAAUCAUCGAAUCUUUGAACGCACAUUGCGCCCCUUGGUAUUCCAUGGGGCAUGCCUGUUCGAGCGUCAUCUACACCCUCAAGCUCUGCUUGGUGUUGGGCGUCUGUCCCGCCUACGUGCGCGGACUCGCCCCAAAUUCAUUGGCAGCGGUCCUUGCCUCCUCUCGCGCAGCACAUUGCGCUUCUCGAGGUGCGCGGCCCGCGUCCACGAAGCAACAUUACCGUCUUUGACCUCGGAUCAGGUAGGGAUACCCGCUGAACUUAAGCAUAUCAAAAAGGCGAGAGAGAAAA